AUGAUUUUGAAUGUCAAAUGUCACACAGGGAAGGGCCUGAACAUGAACUUACUUGGUAAUGCCCAUUUGUGUAGAUCGGUAGCCUGUGGCAUCUAUUUUGUCCAAUCGUCCGCCACGAACAAAUUUUCUUUGUUGGGUGCUGGUGGUUCUACUUCCAAUGUUUUUGUAGGACAUUGCUCGGUUAGUAAUGACUUUGAAUGUAAAGCGUGCUAUGAAGUACAUGAUGCGCUGUGUAGUUCCCUCAAUUACGUGAAGAAGAAGAAUGGCAGCAAAGACUUAUGGUUGAUGCAGAAUUCUGUUGGGGAGAAAAGCAAGUGCAAAGAGGAUGGGGGCUCUACAACAAUCAGUUGCAAGGUUGCUAGUCAUCCAAAUAUGUGUUAG
Molecule: ribosomal RNA, 381 nt
Filed under: Triticum aestivum (bread wheat)
Lineage: Eukaryota; Viridiplantae; Streptophyta; Magnoliopsida; Poales; Poaceae
Description: partial small subunit ribosomal RNA
Source: RNAcentral